AGUUUCGUUUUGACCGUCACAAGUCACGAGGGGUAAGUGGAGAAACGCAAACCCUUGGGAUAUUCUCGAUCCUCAUUUUCCUUUCACAAAACUUUGCCUUUGGUUUCCCUCUCUUUCGUUUUUCUCUUUUCUUUCGUGGAGUGAACCCUAGAUGGGGAAAAGGGGUAGAGUGAGUGGCGGCGUGAGAAGGGGAAUGGCUGCGAAGCAAACCCUUUUGGGAUUUUUUUUCAGGGUUUCGGGGUUGGGUUUCGGUGAGUGACUAAUUAGAGGUUUUAAAGGGUGAGUGGAAGGCACCGAGAGAUUGAGGGGUUGCGAGUCAGAGAAUGAACGCGGGUAUGGAGAGCUAGAAGAGGUGAAGUUCAAAUCGGGAGUGGCUGCGUUUGAGGAACCAAAACAGACGUUGAAAUAGCUAACAUUUAUGUGCAUGGCUGUUUAUGGAGUUGUUGACGCUGGAUCCAUUGCUUGAAUAUUUUGAGAUGCUUACAAUGAGCUCGAUGCAUAGCUAUGGCUAUGCGUAUUGGGAGAAAUGGAGUGUUUCUGCCUGUGUUUCACCCAUCUUAGCCUGUACCUCCCUAUUCUUUUUUAUUUUUCCAUAUGUGUCUCUGACAAAGAAUCUUUAAUUGCAUUUUUUUUAAUUGACCUAUUAAACAAACAAAACCCCACAUCACCCACCCCUUCCUCCUCUGUCUCUCUGAUUUGUUGCAUUUCAUAUUCUCAAUCACUACACCCCCUUUUCUCCUCUCUUCAUGGAGAAGCAUUCCUCGCAUCUUGCCUCCUCCCCUUCUCCCCUCCUCCCUUAUGUUUGUCUCGUAGUCUCACUUGGGCUUCAUUCUCAUAGACCUCUCCUCACUGUCGUUUGGUGGCUGUGGUGAUCGCCUUUCAAAAGUGGUGGUUCUUCUUCUAAUAGUUCACAUCAAGCCUUUUGUUUGCUUGGGCAUCCAGGUUGGUUCUUAUUUCCUUAAGCUCCGAUUAUUGUAUGAUAGAUUGUAUGAUGGAUGAUGGAUGGUUGAAGUGUGGUAGAAGGCUUGAUUUUUGUUUGUUUGUGCUGUUGAUGCAUUUCUAGUCUGGAUCUGUUACAAGGAUGAAGGUCGGAGGCCUUAACCGCACUUGGAAGUGUGCUUAAGGCCCCAUCGAUGUUGGAAGUGCGGUUGAAGAGCUUGCCAGCACUUAACCUUGCCGCACUUAAAAGUGCAGUUGAGAGUUUGUUGCACUUAAAAGUGCAGUUGAGAGUUUGUUGCACUUAAAAGUGCGGUUGAGAGUUUGUUGCACUUGGAAAUGCGGUUAAUGUUAGUCGCACUUGAUGGUAGCUGUACUUGAGAGUGCAGUUACAUCAUUUUUUAAUUUUUUUACUUUAUUAUAUUUAAUUAAAUUUUAAUUUGAUUUGUUUUAAAUUUUGAAUUUGUAUUGGUAGAUAUUAUAUAUUAUUUGGUAUUUAAUAUUUAUUUU
Molecule: long non-coding RNA, 1446 nt
Organism: Vigna angularis (adzuki bean)
Lineage: Eukaryota; Viridiplantae; Streptophyta; Magnoliopsida; Fabales; Fabaceae
Exons: 3
Source: RefSeq, a predicted model, not a curated record